Molecule: ribosomal RNA, 462 nt
Filed under: uncultured bacterium
Lineage: Bacteria
Description: partial 16S ribosomal RNA
Rfam family: Bacterial small subunit ribosomal RNA
Source: RNAcentral
GAUGAACGCUGACAGAAUGCUUAACACAUGCAAGUCAUUGGCGAAGCUGCGCUUGCGCAGUCUAGCCAAGGCGGACGGGUGAGUAACGCGUAAGGAACUUGCCCUGCAGACAGGGAUAACAGACGGAAACGACUGAUAACACCUGGUAUUGUCAGGCUGGCGCAUGCCGGCCUGAUGAAAGGAGACGCUGCAGGAGAGCCUUGCGUCCUAUUAGCUAGUUGGUGGGGUAACGGCCCACCAAGGCGAUGAUAGGUAGCCGGCCUGAGAGGGUGAACGGCCACAAGGGGAAUGAGAUACGGCCCUUACUCCUGCGGGAGGCAGCAGUGGGGAAUAUUGGACAAUGGGGGCAACCCUGAUACAGCAAUUCUGUGUGCACGAAGAAGGUUUUCGGAUUGUAAAGUGCUUUCAGCAGAGAAGGAGAAAGUGACGGUACCUGCAGAAGAAGCGACGGCUAAAUACGUG